This 475-nucleotide ribosomal RNA is filed under the name Salmonella enterica subsp. enterica serovar Infantis. Its description in RNAcentral is "partial 23S ribosomal RNA". It matches the Rfam family "Bacterial large subunit ribosomal RNA", at positions 103 to 600 of the family's 2925-position model. Lineage: Bacteria; Pseudomonadati; Pseudomonadota; Gammaproteobacteria; Enterobacterales; Enterobacteriaceae. The record is from RNAcentral.
ACCGGCGAUACCCGAAUGGGGAAACCCAGUGUGAUUCGUCACACUAUCAUUAACUGAAUCCAUAGGUUAAUGAGGCGAACCGGGGGAACUGAAACAUCUAAGUACCCCGAGGAAAAGAAAUCAACCGAGAUUCCCCCAGUAGCGGCGAGCGAACGGGGAGGAGCCCAGAGCCUGAAUCAGCAUGUGUGUUAGUGGAAGCGUCUGGAAAGGCGCGCGAUACAGGGUGACAGCCCCGUACACAAAAGCGCAUGUGCUGUGAGCUCGAUGAGUAGGGCGGGACACGUGGUAUCCUGUCUGAAUAUGGGGGGACCAUCCUCCAAGGCUAAAUACUCCUGACUGACCGAUAGUGAACCAGUACCGUGAGGGAAAGGCGAAAAGAACCCCGGCGAGGGGAGUGAAAAAGAACCUGAAACCGUGUACGUACAAGCAGUGGGAGCCCCACCACCAAAGCAUUCUCUGGUGUUGAAGGCCCUGC